This 253-nucleotide ribosomal RNA is filed under the name uncultured bacterium. RNAcentral describes it as "partial 16S ribosomal RNA". It matches the Rfam family "Bacterial small subunit ribosomal RNA", at positions 524 to 776 of the family's 1533-position model. The record is from RNAcentral.
UACGGGGGGAGCAAACGUUGUUCGGAUUCAUUGGGCGUAAAGGGUGCGUAGGCGGCGCGGUAAGUCGGGUGUGAAAUCUCGGGGCUUAACUCCGAAACUGCAUUCGAUACUGCCGUGCUUGAGGACUGGAGAGGAGACUGGAAUUUACGGUGUAGCGGUGAAAUGCGUAGAUAUCGUAAGGAAGACCAGUGGCGAAGGCGGGUCUCUGGACAGUUCCUGACGCUGAGGCACGAAGGCCAGGGGAGCAAACGGG